CCAAAGGAAUUUAGCCCCAUCCCACAAGCGUUUGGGAGAAGGAAAUGGAAGUAACAAUCGGCCAACGCCAUAUAUUGCAAUGGAAAAGAAAUGAAAUGCUAAGCUUAAUGGAGAAGGGCAUAAACCAGAGAGCAUAGCGGAUGCUCCAUAUGAAAACAUCCCUCCAAGUCUCAAAUACCCCAAAAAGGUGUGCUGCAGAUUCUCCAUUGCUGGAUUGGACGAGGCACUGAAUACCUUCUGUAGGACAUUAGCCAGUAUAUUUAUUGUAGAUGACAUUGGCUGCAUGUAGUUAAAGGGCAAAAUUAUACCGUUUUCAUCAUUGCCAUUCACUUUCAAAAUGCAUAUAAAACAUGAAACUACAAUACCUUCCUCAGAGUAUAAAAGGAUUCGAGAUAUUUGGAAAUGGUGAAUGCAUCGGAUAGAUCAUGCAAGGGUCUUAGAAGAUCCCUAAGUAUUACGACAUCAGACAGAGCAACAGUCAUUCCCCCUCCGGUUAUAGCGUGCCGCAUGUUGAGUGCAUCUCCAAUCAGAAGCGCACCAGGAGUCAGGUGUGGAGCAGCAGCCAUGAUUUUCGCCGGCAUUAUUCUUAUGUUACCCUUCUUCUCUAUUGCAGACAUAAAGGAAUUGUACAAUUCAGGAAGAACCUGAAAUAUAUUAUAAGCCAUACAGUUAGUCCAUAAAUUAAGCCAAAUUCCCCUACUGAAUGAAUAAAAAAAAGAUCUAAAUAUACCUUGGGAGCCACCUGAGUUUUCAAAUAACAUGCCAUUUCACCAUUGGAAACUGAAGGUACCUUUUCACUAGGAACAUCCACCAUGCAACGAAUUUCAGUGCUGCUAACUGGAUACAAUAGGAUUGGUGAAGGGUGUCCUAAUAUAAUAGCUCCAUAAUUUUUUUUGGAAGGUUACAGUUUGUCAGUGUAAGACCAACAAGAUAAGAGGGUAUAUCAACCUGCAGAAAAAAAAAUAUAGACCUUUAUAUAUUUUCUCUAAGCAUAGAAUUUAAGAAGUCUAAUAAAAGUUUUAGUCCUCCUAUUAUCCUAAAAUUGGAAUUUAAUCCAUUUUCUUUAAUUUGGAGAAAAUUUUUUUUUAUGUGGUUGAAUAUGGUUGAUUGAAAUUUUAUGUGGUCUAACAAAAAGCAACUAAUGAUGUUAUCAUUUUGGACAUUAUAAAAACAUUAUAAAAAAAUAAAUGAAUCAAAUUAAGCCAAAUUAAAGUAGAAUGUUGAAAUAUAAAAUUAGAGAGACGAAAACUAUAACUAGACUAAUUUAACACUAAUUCUUAAGCAUUUUUACCUUAGGAUAACAAAGAGAGCGUCUCAAAUUUGAGAAACAACCAUUGCAUACAAUUGUGAGAGGAGGGUAAGCUGUCAACACUUGACCACUCUUAUUUUUGUAGUGCACUCCUUUGACAAUACCGUUUUCUUCAAUCAGAGAUGUUACUGUCCCUUGUUCUAGAGUUACUGUUGCGCGGAAGCGUGUAAAAGAGUAAAAUUAUUGUACUAAAAAAUCACACUAAGUUCAAUUCCCAGAAAAGAGAGGUGGAUCACGAGUAUCGCUUAAGUACCAAGUCUUUCCUAGCCAGAAAGAUAAAAAAGACUUUAGAAAGCUAACUCAUUUUUGUUUGGUAGGCAAUAUAAAUUUAUUGAAAAUAAAUCUCUUAUAACAGUGUUACAAAUUCACCUUCAACAUGGACUACACCAGCAAAGCACCUAAACAAAUAAUAGCUAGAGUUUCAGUCAUGCAAAAGCCAACUCAUUUAUUUACCAUUUUAAAUAUCACACAUACAAAAGAUUAUCCAGCCUACGUAAGAAUGCUAGUAACAGAUGUGAGAUUUUGUUAAGAACAUAGAAUUGUUCCAACAAAGACUGCUAAUUAAUGCAUGAAGUUUCUUUUGGGACCCUUUUUAGGGGGAGUUCUAUAAUAUGCUGGCACUGUUAGAGGGAAAAACAUUUGUCUGAUUCCUUCAGAGUAUAUGUAGGGGAGAAGAAUACUUGAUGCCACCUGAAAAACAAGAAAAUAUUUGUAUUAAUAUGAAUCUAUAUCAUAAUCAUAUUUAAGAUCUUAUAUAUUUAUAUCAUGUUAAUAUAUAAAUGUUUGGUAAAGAUACUGACCCAAAGGAAUUUAGCCCCAUCCCACAAGCGUUUUGGAGAAGGAAACGGAAGUAACAAUCGGCCAACGCCAUAUAUUGCAAGGGAAAAGAAAUGAAAUGCUAAGCUUAAUGGACGAGGGCAUAAACCAGAGAGCAUUGCUGAUAUUCCAUAUGAAAAGACCCCUCCAAGUCUCAAAUACCCGAGAAAGGUGUGCUGCAGAUUCUCCAUUGCAGGAUUGGACGAGGCACUGAAUACCUUCUGUAGGACAUUAGCCAGUAUAUUUAUUGUAGAUGACAUUGGCUGCAUGAAGUUAAAGAGCAAAAUUAUACCGUUUUCAUCAUUGCCAUUCACUUUCAAAAUG
Molecule: long non-coding RNA, 2449 nt
Filed under: Gossypium raimondii (Peruvian cotton)
Lineage: Eukaryota; Viridiplantae; Streptophyta; Magnoliopsida; Malvales; Malvaceae
Description: long non-coding RNA (GRAI_LNC011172)
Source: RNAcentral